GAUGAACGCUGGCGGCGUGCUUAACACAUGCAAGUCGAACGGUGAAGGCGGAGCUUGCUCUGCUGGAUCAGUGGCGAACGGGUGAGUAACACGUGAGCAAUCUGCCCCUGACUCUGGGAUAAGCGCUGGAAACGGCGUCUAAUACUGGAUACGAGCUGCGAAGGCAUCUUCAGCAGCUGGAAAGAAUUUCGGUCAGGGAUGAGCUCGCGGCCUAUCAGCUUGUUGGUGAGGUAAUGGCUCACCAAGGCGUCGACGGGUAGCCGGCCUGAGAGGGUGACCGGCCACACUGGGACUGAGACACGGCCCAGACUCCUACGGGAGGCAGCAGUGGGGAAUAUUGCACAAUGGGCGAAAGCCUGAUGCAGCAACGCCGCGUGAGGGACGACGGCCUUCGGGUUGUAAACCUCUUUUAGCAGGGAAGAAGCGAAAGUGACGGUACCUGCAGAGAAAGCGCCGGCUAACUACGUG
Molecule: ribosomal RNA, 468 nt
Filed under: uncultured bacterium
Lineage: Bacteria
Description: partial 16S ribosomal RNA
Rfam family: Bacterial small subunit ribosomal RNA
Source: RNAcentral